Molecule: long non-coding RNA, 785 nt
Filed under: Nicotiana benthamiana
Lineage: Eukaryota; Viridiplantae; Streptophyta; Magnoliopsida; Solanales; Solanaceae
Description: long non-coding RNA (NBEN_LNC041906)
Source: RNAcentral
CCCAUGCCAAACAUAAGAUAAACACAAACAAAUAAAUCAGGUGUGAUCAAGAAGUUAGACAAAACGAAUGUAAAGGAAAAAGAUAAGAAAGACGUCAUAGGUGUCCCCAAGCGUUUCGCUUAUUUUCUUGCUAUCCGGUGACUGUAAAUUUGUAUUGACUCCAUGAGAAAGUAUGGAGAGUCUCGCAAUAAGACUCCAUGUCUGGAUAAGGAGAUUCGUUGUCGCUCUUGCAGGGCAGCAAACUGAGGCGUGGGAUCUAAGGUGUACUAUCAAACUCCGAUCUCGGACUUGAACUUGCUACCUCGAACCAACGUUAAUCGUUGGGACAAAGAAAUAAAAAAUGUUUCUAUUUUUGGUUAAAACCAACAGAACUUAGAAAUUAGAAAGAAAGAAAUUUUGAGAGAAAAGGACGGCGGCUAAACAAAGGUUAGAGGGAGCUGAAGCUUCCAACUUUGGGGGGGUGAAAGUGGGCGGCUCUGAACCUCAGGUUAAAGGAGGGGGCUAUAACUUGGUCAAAAAUCUCUUCAAAGGUGGGUAUUUAUUGGCUGAUUUCUAGGGUUCUUGAUUUAGGCGGGAUUUUGAAAUUGAGUGAAAGCUAUCGAACAUUUGAGAUUUGAACGUAGGUAUUGAAGAGAAAUUAAAUAAGGGGAAGGGCUUCUUGCUUUAAUAUAGUAAUGGAAAGUCUGCUAUGGCUAAGCAACAUUGAAGUUUUGUGAAGAAAAGGAAAAGAAGAAAAUAAGCGGUCGUUUGGCAGGGAGAACGAAUUCUAAAUUGUUCUGUUGUUG